CGGGAGUGGUCGUAUCCUGGGCUGUGUCCCCGGCGCCUUGUGCUCCCGGGCCUGCGCUGUUGGAUUCGUGCUCUGGGCCGGGCAGCCCCCU
Molecule: microRNA precursor, 91 nt
Filed under: Canis lupus familiaris (dog)
Lineage: Eukaryota; Metazoa; Chordata; Mammalia; Carnivora; Canidae
Also listed under: 1 other name
Description: mir-8799 microRNA precursor family
Rfam family: mir-8799 microRNA precursor family
Source: Rfam by way of RNAcentral